GACGAACGCUGGCGGCGUGCUUAACACAUGCAAGUCGAACGGAAAGGCCCUGCUUGCAGGGUACUCGAGUGGCGAACGGGUGAGUAACACGUGGGUGAUCUGCCCUGCACUUCGGGAUAAGCCUGGGAAACUGGGUCUAAUACCGGAUAGGAGCCAUUUUUAGUGUGAUGGUUGGAAAGUUUUUUCGGUGUAGGAUGAGCUCGCGGCCUAUCAGCUUGUUGGUGGGGUAAUGGCCUACCAAGGCGGCGACGGGUAGCCGGCCUGAGAGGGUGGACGGCCACAUUGGGACUGAGAUACGGCCUAGACUCCUACGGGAGGCAGCAGUGGGGAAUAUUGCACAAUGGGCGCAAGCCUGAUGCAGCGACGCCGCGUGGGGGAUGACGGCCUUCGGGUUGUAAACUCCUUUCGCUAGGGACGAAGCUUUUGUGACGGUACCUAGAUAAGAAGCACCGGCUAACUACGU
This 463-nucleotide ribosomal RNA is filed under the name uncultured bacterium. RNAcentral describes it as "partial 16S ribosomal RNA". It matches the Rfam family "Bacterial small subunit ribosomal RNA", at positions 28 to 506 of the family's 1533-position model. The record is from RNAcentral.